UAAGGAAUAUUGCUCAAUGGGAGAAAUCCUGAAGCAGCAACGCCGCGUGGAGGAUGAAGGGUCUAUGACUUGUAAACUCCUGUAAAGAAGGAAAAAAUUCCCAUUUGAUGGGAGAUGAUGGUACUUCUGGAGUAAGCCCCGGCUAACUACGUGCCAGCAGCCGCGGUAAUACGUAGGGGGCAAGCGUUGUCCGGAUUUACUGGGUGUAAAGGGUGCUCAGGCGGAUUUGUAAGUUAGAGGUGAAAUCUUACAGCUUAACUGUGAAGCUGCCUUUGAUACUGCAAGCCUAGAGUAUGGAAGAGAGUGAUGGAAUAUCUGGUGUAGCAGUGAAAUGCGUAGAUAUCAGAUAGAACACCAAUGGCGAAGGCAGUCACUUGGUCCAUUACUGACGCUAAAGCACGAAAGCGUGGGUAGCAAACA
RNAcentral lists this ribosomal RNA (420 nucleotides) under uncultured bacterium. RNAcentral's name for it is "bacterial SSU rRNA". It matches the Rfam family "Bacterial small subunit ribosomal RNA", at positions 355 to 774 of the family's 1533-position model. The record is from RNAcentral.